AUGCCUUUGUCACAGAGAACCGGGGGAGGCAACAAAAGAGUAGCAAAAGCAAAUGGAGAAGCAGAAGCAAGAGCAGGUGCAGGUCCACUGAUGGCAGAAAACCAACAUAUAAGUGCCAUCAUUGUGGAAUAGAGGGACAUAUGAAGAAGAACUGCUACAAAUGGAAAGAGGAGCAAGGCCAGAGCAGUUCGCAGCCGAAGAACAAGGGUGGAGAAACG
This 218-nucleotide long non-coding RNA is filed under the name Nicotiana benthamiana. Its description in RNAcentral is "long non-coding RNA (NBEN_LNC007347)". The record is from RNAcentral. Lineage: Eukaryota; Viridiplantae; Streptophyta; Magnoliopsida; Solanales; Solanaceae.